RNAcentral lists this ribosomal RNA (231 nucleotides) under uncultured bacterium. Its description in RNAcentral is "partial 16S ribosomal RNA". It matches the Rfam family "Bacterial small subunit ribosomal RNA", at positions 104 to 334 of the family's 1533-position model. The record is from RNAcentral.
CGGGGGUGGAGUAAUGUCUGGGAAACGGCCUGAUGGAGGGGGGUAACUACUGGAAACGGUAGCUAAUACCGCAUAACGUCGCAAGACCAAAGAGGGGGACCUUCGGGCCUCUUGCCAUCGGAUGUGCCCAGAUGGGAUUAGCUAGUAGGUGGGGUAAUGGCUCACCUAGGCGACGAUCCCUAGCUGGUCUGAGAGGAUGACCAGCCACACUGGAACUGAGACACGGUCCAG